CCUGAAAUUUUAAAAAAGUUGCUCUCUCUUUCUUCAUUCUACUCUUUGCCUCUCUAUUCUUUCUCUCACUCUUCUGGUACAAAAGCCUAAGCUUCCACUUUCACACAGAAGUCGAAAAGAAGGCACUCUCCUGCUGACCUUCUUGCUUUCUUAUCAUACUGAGCUUGUUGUGUUUUAAUCUAAUUUAUUCAACUUCACUUGCUUGCACUUUACUGGUUGUCUUUCUUCUACUUCUCUGAGGGACAAUGACUAUGACUUUACCUUGGAGGAAAAAUUUUAUAGGAGUUGCGGUCGGAUAUGGUUUCUGGAUUGUUGAGCUCAUGCCCAGAUGGCAUGGGCAACAAUAAUGUUUCUCCACCAGCAAUUAAUCCUGGGAUUUUGCAGUCCACAUUUACUUGUGAAAAACUAAAGACGGCAACAGACAAUUUCUCUAUAGCCAACCUCCUUGGUCAAGAGAGUUUCGGAUAUGUCCAUUGGGGAGUCGUCACCAAUGGAAAAUUGGUUGCAAGCAAACAGCUAAAACCUGGUAGUCUACAAUGGGAAUGUGAAUUUCAGGCAGAGAUUGAGAUCAUCAGUUGUGUUCAACACAGAAAUCUUGUCUAUCUGGUUGGAUACCACAUUUCUGACGCCCAGACAUUGCUUGUUUAUGGGUUUGUUCCGAACAAAACCUUGGAAUACAUGGUGGCUGAUUUUGGACUUGCAAAGUACUCUUUUAAAUACUGAUACUCAUGUCUUUUACCCGAGACAUGGCAUCUUUUGGGUAAUGUACAAUUGUUGCCGCCUUUCACAAAAGUAGUGACCUAUAGUCUCGACCCAGUCCUCUGUCUCCUCUCAUAUACAUUCACCAAAAUGCAGUUACGUGGCUCCGUAUUAUGCUGCAUCUGGGAAGCUCAACGAUAAAUCAGAUGUCCUUUCCUUUGGGUUCUGCAACUGGAGCUGAUUUCUAGGAUCCUGCCUUUUUACAAAAAUCAUUUAUUUGUUAAUGAUGGCACUGUUGACUGGGAAAUAUGGCUGAAAAAAAAUUAUGAAUUUCCAAUUGCCCUUCUGCUCACAAAAGCUCUGGAACACCACCACUUUGAGGCUCUUGUUGAUUCGAAGUUGCAGUAUGACCCACGUGAAGUGGCUCGAAUGGUUCCUUGUGCUGCCUUUUGUGUACGCCAUUCAGAUAAGCAUUUUCUACGAAUGAUCCAGGUACGUGAAUUCCUAAGCCUUCAUCAUCAGGUUGAUUUCAUUUCAUUUAUUAUUGUCCGAUGAAGUAACCAAGUUUUAGAUGCAGUUUCAGUCAUUUGCAAAUUGACUUUUCAUUGCAACUAAAAGUGAUUUUAGGGAUUGAAUUGUAGGAUUGAACCCCCGAUAACCUCUAUGCAGCUAUCAUUCAGGCAUAUAUGUUAGUUGACACAGAAUUGAUGGCAACUGGAAUAAAAACAUGAGGAGAAAAAGUCUAGAUGACAGAGAUGAAAGUUGUCUAUUUCAGAGAGAUAAUCAAAUAAAAAUAGUACAUUUUAAUUAACUGAUAAAGACUCAAAUGGGACAUCACAUAAACUAUUGAACAAAGCAUUAAAUUGGUGGAUUGGAAGGAAGUAGGACACCCCCAUGUGACUACAUGAUUUCCAUCCACUAAACCAACAAAGCAAAGCAUGAUCUUCUACGAACCAACAUAAAAAAUAUAAAAUAUGGAAUAAUUGUCAUGUAACUACUACAAGUUUGGGACCACAUUGAAGACUUCUUUCAACUUAUUCUAAAAUACGAAACUUCCAGAGAAUGAAACUUUACAACUUGGGAUAGCUAAGUCCAUUGGUAAAGCCGUCAGUAACUUGAUCAUAUGUCGAACAAUAUUUUAUCUUGAUCAAUUAUUCAAUGACAAUUGUUCGAUUAAAGUGAUAGACGAAGCUUAAUAUAUUGUGUUCUUCAUGAAAUAGGAAUUCUUGUUCAUCAAAAUUGUUGUUUUGUUGUAAAAAAAAAAAAAUAAAUAAAUCUUCCUUGCUUUUUCAUGCUUUUGGUUCGAUGAUUGAUUCACAUGUAGGUAAUGUUGUACAUCAUUAACCAUCUUAUGUAUCUUUUUAAUGUUCAUGUGUCCUAACCAAAGGUGGUAAAGAUAUGUUUGAUUAAUGUUGGACAAUCUGAUUUUUUUAUUAUACAUUUAUUGUUUUGAAUCGUUAAUUGAUGACACAUUUGAUUUUUAAAUGUAUAAGUUAUUAAUAAUUAAUCUAGUACAAAUAAAUAACUUACCUCUUCUAAUGAUAAGAAGCCUACUAAAAUUAAAUUUCGAAUAAAUUUCUAUAUAUGGUAACAUUCUUCCAAAAUUACAUUGCCUUUCCCUUUCUUCUUCUCCACAAGAUAGGUUGGGCAAUUCCUUUUUCAAUGCCAAGCCUUCCCACUGUGAAAGUACUUGGCUUUCGGCUUGCUUUCUUUCUUAGUAAGAACCUUCUUGGGUGCUAUGUUGGCAUCCAAUUUUUUCUUUCUGUUUUCCUUUCUUAUGGGCGAAUUUGGAAGUGAAAGCUAUAGGAGGAUGACCUCUCCCCAUUUUCCCUUGAUGAUGUAUAACCCUUUUUGAGUCAUGCAUGGGGUCUUUAAAUUGUACACUAUGGUUUAGCUUAUAUUCUAACUUGAUCAAACAAAAAGAGUCAUUUAGUGAAGUCUUGGUCUAUAAUAGAACCAGGAAUUUUUGCCCUA
This is a long non-coding RNA of Mangifera indica (mango), 2673 nucleotides long. RefSeq lists it as uncharacterized. NCBI's taxonomy places the organism in Eukaryota, Viridiplantae, Streptophyta, Magnoliopsida, Sapindales, Anacardiaceae. The record is from RefSeq and is a predicted model, not a curated record. The transcript is spliced from 4 exons.